Molecule: transfer RNA, 62 nt
Filed under: Eisenia fetida (common brandling worm)
Lineage: Eukaryota; Metazoa; Annelida; Clitellata; Crassiclitellata; Lumbricidae
Description: tRNA-His
Source: RNAcentral
CAAAAGGUAGGUUAUGAAAACUCCUGAAUUGUGGUUUCAGAAAUGUCAGAAGACCCUUUUUC